Molecule: small nuclear RNA, 104 nt
Organism: Mustela putorius furo (domestic ferret)
Lineage: Eukaryota; Metazoa; Chordata; Mammalia; Carnivora; Mustelidae
Source: Ensembl
GUGUUUGGUUCAGCAGCACAGAUAGUAAAAUUUGAAUGAUAUAGAGAUUAGUAUGGGCCCUGCACAAGGAUGAUGUGCAAAUUAUUGAAAUGUUGCAUUCCUUU